AAACCAUGAUUGGGAGACCUCACCAAAUAUAACUUGAAUCGAUCCCAUGCCUCAUGUAGAUGUUCUCCUGGUAAUUGCUUGAAAAGGAAGAUUUUAUCCCGGAGCUC
RNAcentral lists this small nucleolar RNA (107 nucleotides) under Nicotiana sylvestris (wood tobacco). Its description in RNAcentral is "Plant small nucleolar RNA R71". It matches the Rfam family "Plant small nucleolar RNA R71". From Rfam's summary of the family: R71 is a member of the C/D box family of snoRNAs containing the C (UGAUGA) and D (CUGA) box motifs. Multiple nearly identical copies of this snoRNA have been identified in Arabidopsis, and it is thought to function as a 2'-O-ribose methylation guide for 18S ribosomal RNA. Lineage: Eukaryota; Viridiplantae; Streptophyta; Magnoliopsida; Solanales; Solanaceae. The record is from Rfam by way of RNAcentral. RNAcentral also lists the same sequence under 1 other name.